GACACACACAGAGAGAAAUAUCCAGAGAGAGAAGGGGACAGAAGCAGGAAGAUAUGCAAAGAGAACAGCAAGAGAUGAGGGAGAAAUAGAAGGGAGGAUGUCUUUCGUUUCUCAUCAAGACAAGGGCCAGGUUGGGGAGGAAAGAAGAUAAAUAAAUGUAUCCAGGACUGGGCUGGAGAACUAGGCAACAGUUGUGAACAUAGCUUUCACUUCUUGAACUAACCAACUGAGACUGAGAUGUGAGGCCACUCAUCUAACAUCACCCAUGGGAUGGAUACAAGGCAAAGCUGGACUGAAGCAGCCUUUUUGUGGAGAGAGGCCAGCGAUAGCCUCCAGGCUCCCCGAGGCCUCUCCCCAGGUGUUUGUCAUCAGCCACAGCUGGGGCCUUUGUGUUUCUGGAGAGGAACAGAGAGUGGCUGCGUGGCUCUGCUUCCCACUGCAUCGGGAAAGGAUGAUGAUCAGCGCUUCUACAAUGUCCUCAUUCAGGGUGAAGUGGAAAUGUCCCAGCUCUGGGGAGUCAGGUGGUCCAAACUUCACAUGCUGUUCUUCCCGGUCUCCCCCAGGCAUCAGAGCCAGUGCCUCACCCUCUACCCACUGGACCUCUUACUCUAUACAAGGGAAAGGUUGCCUGAGCGAGCCCCCUCUGAACGGGACAUCCUACAACUGAUAUUCAAAACGGCACACCCAGAGAGUUUUGGAAGAGCUGUGAAAUGUCCAUGAAGCUCCUAAUGUUAUGUACAGAAUUUUGUGAAUGUGGGUGUUCCUUACACGUACUGGAAAUUUGUAGCAUUUAUCUGAUUCUCAGAGGGAUCUCUAAUGCCUAUAUUAACAACCACAAUCAACACAGGGCUGCGAUUGUGGCUUAGUGGGUAGAGAGCGACUGCCUAGCAUGGAUGAAGCCGUGGGUUUGAUCCACAGUACAUAAUAGGCAUGUGGGCACUCCCCCAUAAUCCUAGCUCUUGGCAGGUAAAAGUGAGAAGUCGCCUUUCCAGUACACAGGGAGUUUGGGACCAGUUUAGCCUACAAGAGUCCUGCUUAAAAAAAGAUAGUACAGAGAGAUAGGUAGGUAGAUAGAUAGACAGACAGACAGAAGGCAAGUACAUGAUAGAUAUGGCAAUAGAAAAGAACGGGAAGGGGAGUGGGGAGAUACAGGUGAAUGAGUAAGGCCUGGAGCCUGUGAUUGGAAGUUCAUGGCGCUCCCAUGUUACAGAACAGUCUUUGCUCUGGAUGGUGGGUAAUGCUGCCAACACCUUUGCAGGAUCCCUACCAAUGCCUUUCUGCCAUCUUAACUUGUAUGGAAAUCACUCUUUUGUAUCCAGAAGGCAAAGCCACCCCAGGUGAGAGCCACUGGCCUGGAAGAAGACACUUGAACAGUACAUCAGCUGGGGAUGAGGCUGAGACUAAAAGGCAUAAAAAUAGGAGUCAUUUUGCUUAUCUUUCUUUUCUUAUUUCAUUUUUUUUGGGGGGGGGUUUACCAGAAGUCAGACUCAGAACCUCGUGCAUGCUUGGUGGUUGCUCUACCACUGCCAUAUCCCCAGCCCUUCACUGGUGUACACUAGGCAGGUGCUCUGCCUUCUAAACAUACCUCCAUUCUCUCGCUAGCAGAUUCUAGGCACUCCACAUAUGAGCCAAGAACCUAACAAAACUCUUCCCUUAAACCCUUCUUUGUUUCUGAAACCCAUCUCAAUAAUAAUAAUAAUAAUAAUAAUGGUGAUAUUGGCGAUGAUGUUAUUAUUUCUAUUGAGGUGUGUACGCCUGUGUCUGCAUAGUUAAGUGUAGUACCCGUAUAGGCCAGAAGAGGGCAGAAGAUCCCCUGAAGUUGACUCUACAGAGCACCCAACGUCAGUGCUGGGAACCCUACUCAGUCUUCUGAAAGAGUAGCAAGCACUCUUAACUGCUGGGCGCUCUCAUUUUCAAAGUAUUUUCAAAUAUUUAUUUUUAUUUGAUGUACAGGUAUGAGUGUAUAUUCACAUUUAUGAGCCAGUGUCCACUGAAGCCAGAAGAGGGUGGCAGAUCCCUCAGAGGGGUUGUGACUGCUCAGCAUGGGUGCUGAGAAUGGAACGCUGGUGCUUGUGGCUGCGCGGUAAGGACUCUUAACCACAGAGCCAUUCCCCUAGCCCCAGACUACUAUACUCUAUUUCUCAUAAGGAAAUGGUGAUAAAA
Molecule: long non-coding RNA, 2163 nt
Organism: Meriones unguiculatus (Mongolian gerbil)
Lineage: Eukaryota; Metazoa; Chordata; Mammalia; Rodentia; Muridae
Exons: 4
Source: RefSeq, a predicted model, not a curated record